AUGCCUAAUACAUGCAAGUCGAACGCGUGGAGCAAUCCACGAGUGGCGGACGGGUGAGUAACGCGUGGGAACCUGCCCUUGAGUGCGGGAUAACCGAGGGAAACUUCGGCUAAUACCGCAUGCGCCCCCUCACGGGGGGAAAGAUUUAUCGCUCGAGGAGGGGCCCGCGUCGGAUUAGCUAGUUGGUGGGGUAACGGCCUACCAAGGCGAUGAUCCGUAGCUGGUCUGAGAGGAUGAUCAGCCACACUGGGACUGAGACACGGCCCAG
RNAcentral lists this ribosomal RNA (268 nucleotides) under uncultured bacterium. RNAcentral's name for it is "partial 16S ribosomal RNA". It matches the Rfam family "Bacterial small subunit ribosomal RNA", at positions 45 to 334 of the family's 1533-position model. The record is from RNAcentral.